GUGGGGGAUAUUGCACAAUGGGGGGAACCCUGAUGCAGCGACGCCGCGUGGGUGAAGGAGCGUUUCGGCGCGUAAAGCCCUAUCGGCAGGGAAGAAGGAGGACGGUACCUGACUAAGAAGCCCCGGCUAACUACGUGCC
RNAcentral lists this ribosomal RNA (139 nucleotides) under uncultured bacterium. RNAcentral describes it as "partial 16S ribosomal RNA". It matches the Rfam family "Bacterial small subunit ribosomal RNA", at positions 354 to 509 of the family's 1533-position model. The record is from RNAcentral.